Molecule: ribosomal RNA, 590 nt
Filed under: Carabus lusitanicus latus
Lineage: Eukaryota; Metazoa; Arthropoda; Insecta; Coleoptera; Carabidae
Description: partial large subunit ribosomal RNA
Rfam family: Bacterial large subunit ribosomal RNA
Source: RNAcentral
UUUUAAAUGGCCGCAGUAUUUUGACUGUGCAAAGGUAGCAUAAUCAUUAGUUUUUUAAUUAAAAGCUUGUAUGAAAGGCUGGACGAGGUAAAAUCUGUCUCUAUUUAAAUUAUUGUAGAAUUUAACUUUUAAGUUAAAAGGCUUAAAUAUUAUUAAAAGACGAGAAGACCCUAUAGAUCUUUAUAGUUUAUUAAAUUAAAUUAAUUUAGAAAUAUUAAUAUUUUAUUUAAUUAAGUUAUUUUAUUGGGGUAAUAAAAAGAUUGAAUUAAUUCUUUUUUAUAAUAAACAUUAAUUUAUGAAUAUUAAUGAUCCAGUUUUACUGAUUAUAAGAUUAAGUUACCUUAGGGAUAACAGCGUAAUUUUUUUAGAGAGUUCAUAUCGAUAAAAAAGUUUGCGACCUCGAUGUUGGAUUAAAGAUUAUUUUAGGUGUAGAAGCUUAAUAAUUAUGGUCUGUUCGACCAUUAAAUCUUUACAUGAUCUGAGUUCAGACCGGCGUAAGCCAGGUCGGUUUCUAUCUUUAAUAAAAUAAAAUAUUUUAGUACGAAAGGACCAAAUAUUUGAUAUAUUUAUAUUUAAUUUAUUGAAUAUUA